UCGAGGAUCUUCGGCAAUGGACGCAAGUCUGACCGAGCGACGCCGCGUGCGGGAUGAAGGCUUUCGGGUUGUAAACCGCUGUCAGUGGGGAGGAAAUCCAGGGGGCCCACUCUCUGGUUGACCUAUCCGCAGAGGAAGUACGGGCUAAGUACGUGCCAGCAGCCGCGGUAAUACGUACCGUACGAACGUUAUUCGGAAUUAUUAGGCUUAAAGGGUGCGUAGGCGGUGCGGAAAGUUGGGUGUGAAAUCCCUCGGCUCAACCGAGGAAUAGCGCCCAAAACUACCGUGCUAGAGGGAGACAGAGGUAAGCGGAACUUCGGGUGGAGCGGUGAAAUGCGUUGAUAUCCGAAGGAACACCGGUGGCGAAAGCGGCUUACUGGGUCUCUUCUGACGCUGAGGCACGAAAGCUAGGGUAGCGAACGGGAUUAGAUACCCCGGUAGUCCUAGCUGUAAACGAUGAGCACUGGGUUGAGGGUCCUCCAUAGCCUUCCAGCCGAAGCGAAAGUGUUAAGUGCUCCGCCUGGGGAG
This 528-nucleotide ribosomal RNA is filed under the name uncultured Planctomycetota bacterium. Its description in RNAcentral is "bacterial SSU rRNA". It matches the Rfam family "Bacterial small subunit ribosomal RNA", at positions 355 to 880 of the family's 1533-position model. Lineage: Bacteria; Pseudomonadati; Planctomycetota. The record is from RNAcentral.